This is a long non-coding RNA of Dreissena polymorpha, 666 nucleotides long. RefSeq lists it as uncharacterized. The record is from RefSeq and is a predicted model, not a curated record. The transcript is spliced from 5 exons. NCBI's taxonomy places the organism in Eukaryota, Metazoa, Mollusca, Bivalvia, Myida, Dreissenidae.
AGAUUACGUCGAAGCACCUGAUAUUGAUCAGUGGGUUUCUUCGAUUGUAAGUUUUUCCACUCAAUACACGAAAGAAUCACGAUGGGCCGCCAGUGAGAUGAUUGGAGCAGCUAAUGUAUAUCCGAACUAUGGCGAUAAAAAAGGGCGUGGGCUCAAAAGGAUGAGGGGGUCGGAAUUGAGUACAUUGAGGUAAUGUUCACGAAGAAAGUUUUCGUUUCUAAAGUUGACAUCUAUGAGACGUGGAAUUCUGGGGGCGUGACGUCAAUCAAGGGCGUCAAUCAGGGCAGUGGGUCGUUCUGUGGUCAGGGGCCGCAAGUCAUAUACAGAACGCCCGCAUUUUCAGUCCGCCCCUAUUGACGACCGAAUGUUUCACGAAUCAUAUUCGCAUUGAGGUGGACACUUCAAUUUCAAACUCGUGGGUCGAAAUAGAUGCAGUGAAGCUGCACGGGAAAGAAAACAUACAAGUUGCACGUUUGCAAGACGUCGAGGUAUAUUCCGCUAGAGAGAGGAACGCAUACACGUUAGCCAAUUAUCAAUCUGGUGUUGCCGGUGACAGUGUAACUUUCACCCAAGAUAUGUUUGCACGCUGGAUCAAAGUCACACGACGUACGCCUAUUAAAUCACUCAGCUUAUGCGAAGUGUUGGUUUUCGGUUUUCUGCCGGAUG